ACGGGAGGCAGCAGUAAGGAAUAUUGGUCAAUGGAGGCAACUCUGAACCAGCCAUGCCGCGUGCAGGAAGACGGCCCUACGGGUUGUAAACUGCUUUUGUACCGGAAUAAACCUUUUCACGUGUGAGAAGCUGAAUGUACGGUAAGAAUAAGGAUCGGCUAACUCCGUGCCAGCAGCCGCGGUAAUACGGAGGAUCCAAGCGUUAUCCGGAUUUAUUGGGUUUAAAGGGUGCGUAGGCGGCUUAUUAAGUCAGGGGUGAAAGGCGGUAGCUUAACUAUCGGAGUGCCUUUGAUACUGAUGAGCUUGAAUGCAGCUGAGGUAGGCGGAAUGUGACAAGUAGCGGUGAAAUGCAUAGAUAUGUCACAGAACACCGAUUGCGAAGGCAGCUUACUAAAGUGCGAUUGACGCUGAGGCACGAAAGCGUGGGGAUCAAACAGGAUUAGAUACCCUGGUAGUCCACGCCCUAAACGAUGAAUACUCGAUGUUGGCGAUAUACGGUCAGCGUCUAAGCGAAAGCGUUAAGUAUUCCACCUGGGGAGUACGCCCGCAAGGGUGAAACUCAAAGGAAUUGACGGGGGCCCGCACAAGCGGAGGAGCAUGUGGUUUAAUUCGAUGAUACGCGAGGAACCUUACCCGGGCUUGAAAGUUAGUGAAUGAUACAGAGACGUAUCAGUCCUUCGGGACACGAAACUAGGUGCUGCAUGGCUGUCGUCAGCUCGUGCCGUGAGGUGUUGGGUUAAGUCCCGCAACGAGCGCAACCCCUGUGUUUAGUUGCCAGCACGUAAUGGUGGGGACUCUAAACAGACUGCCUAUGCAAAUAGAGAGGAAGGAGGGGACGACGUCAAGUCAUCAUGGCCCUUACGUCCGGGGCUACACACGUGCUACAAUGGACAGUACAGAGGGCCGCUACCUGGCAACAGGAUGCCAAUCUCAAAAAGCUGUUCACAGUUCGGAUCGGGGUCUGCAACUCGACCCCGUGAAGUUGGAUUCGCUAGUAAUCGCGUAUCAGCAAUGACGCGGUGAAUACGUUCCCGGGCCUUGUACACACCGCCCGUCAAGCCAUGGAAGCUGGAAGUGCCUGAAGUGCGUAACCGCAAGG
Molecule: ribosomal RNA, 1099 nt
Filed under: Mucilaginibacter gynuensis
Lineage: Bacteria; Pseudomonadati; Bacteroidota; Sphingobacteriia; Sphingobacteriales; Sphingobacteriaceae
Description: bacterial SSU rRNA
Rfam family: Bacterial small subunit ribosomal RNA
Source: RNAcentral